GAAUAUUGGACAAUGGGGGAAACCCUGAUCCAGCCAUGCCGCGCGAGUGAUGAAGGCCCUAGGGUUGUAAAGCUCUUUCGGCGGGGACGAUGAUGACGGUACCCGCAGAAGAAGCCCCGGCUAACUUCGUGCCAGCAGCCGCGGUAAUACGAAGGGGGCUAGCGUUGUCCGGAAUCACUGGGCGUAAAGCGCGCGUAGGCGGCCUAGCAAGUCAGGUGUGAAAGCCCGGGGCUCAACCUCGGAACUGCGCCUGAUACUGCUAAGCUCGAGACCGGAAGAGGAGAGCGGAAUUCCCAGUGUAGAGGUGAAAUUCGUAGAUAUUGGGAAGAACACCAGUGGCGAAGGCGGCUCUCUGGUCCGGUUCUGACGCUGAGGCGCGAAAGCGUGGGGAGCAAACAGG
Molecule: ribosomal RNA, 400 nt
Filed under: uncultured bacterium
Lineage: Bacteria
Description: bacterial SSU rRNA
Rfam family: Bacterial small subunit ribosomal RNA
Source: RNAcentral